CCUACGGGGGGCUGCAGUGGGGAAUAUUGGACAAUGGGCGAAAGCCUGAUCCAGCCAUGCCGCGUGUGUGAAGAAGGCCUUCGGGUUGUAAAGCACUUUCAGUGGGGAAGAAAGCCUUGGGGCUAAUACCCUCGAGGAAGGACAUCACCCACAGAAGAAGCACCGGCUAACUCCGUGCCAGCAGCCGCGGUAAUACGGAGGGUGCGAGCGUUAAUCGGAAUUACUGGGCGUAAAGCGCGCGUAGGCGGUCUGAUAAGCCGGUUGUGAAAGCCCCGGGCUCAACCUGGGAACGGCAUCCGGAACUGUCAGGCUAGAGUGCAGGAGAGGAAGGGAGAAUUCCCGGUGUAGCGGUGAAAUGCGUAGAGAUCGGGAGGAAUACCAGUGGCGAAGGCGGCCUUCUGGACUGACACUGACGCUGAGGUGCGAAAGCGUGGGUAGCAAACAGGAUUAGAUACCCUAGUAGU
RNAcentral lists this ribosomal RNA (464 nucleotides) under Vreelandella stevensii. RNAcentral's name for it is "partial 16S ribosomal RNA". It matches the Rfam family "Bacterial small subunit ribosomal RNA", at positions 338 to 794 of the family's 1533-position model. Lineage: Bacteria; Pseudomonadati; Pseudomonadota; Gammaproteobacteria; Oceanospirillales; Halomonadaceae. The record is from RNAcentral.